This 254-nucleotide ribosomal RNA is filed under the name uncultured bacterium. RNAcentral describes it as "partial 16S ribosomal RNA". It matches the Rfam family "Bacterial small subunit ribosomal RNA", at positions 793 to 1056 of the family's 1533-position model. The record is from RNAcentral.
GUCCACGCCGUAACGAUGGUGCUAGGUGUGGCGGUGUCGACUCCGUCCGUGCCGAAGCUAACGCAUUAAGCACCCGCCUGGGAGUACGGCCGCAAGGCUAAACUCAAGGAUUGACGGGCCCGCACAAGCAGCGGAGCAUGUUGUUUAAUUCGACGCGACGCGAAGAACCUUACCAAGGCUUGACAUGCACGGGAAUGUCGUAGAAAUACGGCAGCCCUUCGGGGCUCGUGCACAGGUGGUGCAUGGCUGUCGUU